Long non-coding RNA from Protopterus annectens (West African lungfish), 1867 nucleotides. RefSeq lists it as uncharacterized. The transcript has 3 exons. NCBI's taxonomy places the organism in Eukaryota, Metazoa, Chordata, Ceratodontiformes, Protopteridae. The record is from RefSeq and is a predicted model, not a curated record.
GCAGGAUAUGGCAGUACUGGGACAGAGUGAAAGGAAGGUAGCAGGAUAUGGCAGUACUGGGACAGAGUGAAAGGAAGGUAACAGGAUAUGGCAGUACUGGGACAGAGUGAAAGGAAGGUAACAGGAUAUGGCAGUACUGGGACAGAGUGAAAGGAAGGUAGCAGGAUAUGGCAGUACUGGGACAGAGUGAAAGGAAGGUAGCAGGAUAUGGCAGUACUGGGACAGAGUGAAAGGAAGGUAGCAGGAUAUGGCAGUACUGGGACAGAGUGAAAGGAAGGUAACAGGAUAUGGCAGUACUGGGACAGAGUGAAAGGAAGGUAACAGGAUAUGGCAGUACUGGGACAGAGUGAAAGGAAGGUAGCAGGAUAUGGCAGUUAUGGGACAGAGUGAAAGGAAGGUAACAGGAUAUGGCAGUAUGUGGACAGAGUGAAAGGAAGGUAGCAGGAUAUGGCAGUACUGGGACAGAGUGAAAGGAAGGUAGCAGGAUAUGGCAGUACUGGGACAGAGUGAAAGGAAGGUAGCAGGAUAUGGCAGUACUGGGACAGAGUGAAAGGAAGGUAGCAGGAUAUGGCAGUACUGGGACAGAGUGAAAGGAAGGUAGCAGGAUAUGGCAGUACUGGGACAGAGUGAAAGGAAGGUAGCAGGAUAUGGCAGUACUGGGACAGAGUGAAAGGAAGGUAGCAGGAUAUGGCAGUACUGGGACAGAGUGAAAGGAAGGUAGCAGGAUAUGGCAGUACUGGGACAGAGUGAAAGGAAGGUAGCAGGAUAUGGCAGUACUGGGACAGAGUGAAAGGAAGGUAGCAGGAUAUGGCAGUACUGGGACAGAGUGAAAGGAAUGUAAUAAGAUACACCUGUACUGGCUGAAAAUAAAAGGAAGGUAGCAGGAUAUGGCAGUACUGGGACAGAGUGAAAGGAAGGUAGCAGGAUAUGGCAGUACUGGGACAGAGUGAAAGGAAUGUAAUAAGAUACACCUGUACUGGCUGAAAAUAAAAGGAAGGUAGCAGGAUAUGGCAGUACUGGGACAGAGUGAAAGGAAGGUAGCAGGAUAUGGCAGUACUGGGACAGAGUGAAAGGAAUGUAAUAAGAUACACCUGUACUGGCUGAAAAUAAAAGGAAGGUAGCAGGAUAUGGCAGUACUGGGACAGAGUGAAAGGAAGGUAGCAGGAUAUGGCAGUACUGGGACAGAGUGAAAGGAAGGUAGCAGGAUAUGGCAGUACUGGGACAGAGUGAAAGGAAGGUAGCAGGAUAUGGCAGUACUGGGACAGAGUGAAAGGAAGGUAGCAGGAUAUGGCAGUACUGGGACAGAGUGAAAGGAAGGUAGCAGGAUAUGGCAGUACUGGGACAGAGUGAAAGGAAGGUAGCAGGAUAUGGCAGUACUGGGACAGAGUGAAAGGAAGGUAGCAGGAUAUGGCAGUACUGGGACAGAGUGAAAGGAAGGUAGCAGGAUAUGGCAGUACUGGGACAGAGUGAAAGGAAGGUAGCAGGAUAUGGCAGUACUGGGACAGAGUGAAAGGAAGGUAGCAGGAUAUGGCAGUACUGGGACAGAGUGAAAGGAAGGUAGCAGGAUAUGGCAGUACUGGGACAGAGUGAAAGGAAGGUAGCAGGAUAUGGCAGUACUGGGACAGAGUGAAAGGAAGGUAGCAGGAUAUGGCAGUACUGGGACAGAGUGAAAGGAAGGUAGCAGGAUAUGGCAGUACUGGGACAGAGUGAAAGGAAGGUAGCAGGAUAUGGCAGUACUGGGACAGAGUGAAAGGAAUGUAAUAAGAUACACCUGUACUGGCUGAAAAUAAAAGGAAGGUAACAGGAUAUGUCAGUACUGGACAAUAGUGAAAGUAAGGUAAUGGGAUAUGCUAAUAAGUGGUGCAAG